Long non-coding RNA from Dromaius novaehollandiae (emu), 1736 nucleotides. RefSeq lists it as uncharacterized. NCBI's taxonomy places the organism in Eukaryota, Metazoa, Chordata, Aves, Casuariiformes, Dromaiidae. The record is from RefSeq and is a predicted model, not a curated record. The transcript is spliced from 3 exons.
GCACGCCGUGCUCCUUUCCCCCUCGCUUCCCGCCUGAGGGGGCGCGGCGGCCAUUUUGUCGCGGCUGCUGGGGCGAGAGCGGCGCGUGAGGGGCCGAGGCCGCCGCGCUUCUGCCGUCCCGGGCAGGGGCCCUCGGUAGCUGGGCUGGUGGAGGGCUGGGAGCGAAGUGACCCUGCCAGAGUAAUGCCCGGAGCCCUGCGCGAAUCGGGCUCAAACCUUGUCUGUGAUGCACUCCAGUUUAAAUACAAAUGGCCAUUUUACUUGGAAUUGACUAAAACUGUGGACGCUGUCGUAUUUAGGAGCAGGACCCUUAUUAUUGUGAGCUUUAGAUGUGGCUGUUGAUGGACAUUUGUAUAUUAAAAUUAGGGAGAACUCAAACGCAUUUUAUUAGCUUGGUUUCAAUCCAGUUUAGGUCAAACCAGGACAGUUUCCUUGUGGAGGGAAAGGCAUACUCUUUUUAGUCCCAAAACUUAAAAGUGGCUUAAUGACAGAAAAUCCGUCGAUGUCGCAGCUGGGUGCACUCAGGCUGGAAAUAACAUUAACUGUUGGGAGUUACCAUCACCCAGGGACACAGUUGGCCUUUUGCCCCGGCUGCAAGAGUGAAGCAAGAUGCCGAUCCCGUCUCCCGAAUUGCAGGAGAAAGCCCCUGGGGAUGGUAUUUUAAUUGGUCAAUGGCAACGUGUCUUUUGCAUCUGUUUUGCUUUUUAUGUCAACCAAGGUGACACAAAGCAUUUAAGCAACUCAGAUUUAUUGAUUUCCUAUCCCAAGAGAAGCAAACAAGCUGCACUAAGAGCAAGAAAUACUGCUCGAGGACUGAGUAACAGCAGACACCGGCAGACGGACAUGGGGAAAAGCAGGACCAGAUGGCUGGUGUCACUGGCAAGCUGCUGCCUGGCUGGACGCAGCGAGGUGGUGCUUCCUUUUGGCCAUUCCUGGCCAAAAAACAGGCAGAAAGACACUAACUCUCAGCGUGAAGCCACAACACGUGGCACCACCACUUACGGCAGUGGUUAUUCACCUCCCUUGUAAAACACCUUUUGAGUUCAGUUAUCAGUUUCGGCCACCAAGCCUCACUUAGCUUUUUUCCGCAAGAUUAUACAGCCCUAGCAUUUUCUGCCUGGGAAGGUACUAGUGCCACGUAAUCAAUUUACCUCUUGCCCUUGCUCUGAUAAGAUAAGUAACUUUAAGUUUUCCAGGCUCUGGCUGCUAGCCCUUCCCUCCUCCAGUCACUCCAAGGCUCUUCCAUGUGCUUUCCUGCAGCCCUUUGGAGGUGCGGGAUGGUGGAAGCCUGUGAAAUUGAUUAACUCCGAGACGUGAGAUUACACAGAGCAAAGAUAACCCAGGAACAAAGAAAGGAAAGGAGCAGAGGAAAAUACAAGCCAGGUAUCAGGGCAGUAUGCGAGGAAGGGAAAGAGAGCCCUCGUUCCCAGAAGCUAGACCAAGCACCAGUGCAGGUGACAAAUGAGCCGCUCAUCUCUGUGGGGAUCCCGAUUUGGCUUCCACCACCUCUGUUGGCACAAACAAAGCAGAAAACAGAUUGCAAGAAAUGGACCGAGCACAAUACGAGCCCACACCUGGCAGCACCGUGCCCGGUGGCCUCGGGCCUGCACGCACGGACACCGGCAUGCUGGACCCGCUCAGCAGCGCCUCAACACACGCUCGCCACUGGCAACAGCCUCUCGCCAAUAAAAGAACGUUCACAAAAAAAGUCACGUGUCUCACAUAGGUGUUUAGUU